This 512-nucleotide ribosomal RNA is filed under the name uncultured bacterium. RNAcentral describes it as "partial 16S ribosomal RNA". It matches the Rfam family "Bacterial small subunit ribosomal RNA", at positions 28 to 523 of the family's 1533-position model. The record is from RNAcentral.
GACGAACGCUGGCGGCGUGCCUAAUACAUGCAAGUCGAGCGAAUCAAUAGGAGCUUGCUCCUGUUGGUUAGCGGCGGACGGGUGAGUAACACGUGGGCAACCUGCCUGUAAGACUGGGAUAACACCGGGAAACCGGUGCUAAUACCGGAUAAUCCUUUUCCUCUCAUGAGGAAAAGCUGAAAGACGGUUUCGGCUGUCACUUACAGAUGGGCCCGCGGCGCAUUAGCUAGUUGGUGAGGUAACGGCUCACCAAGGCGACGAUGCGUAGCCGACCUGAGAGGGUGAUCGGCCACACUGGGACUGAGACACGGCCCAGACUACUACGGGAGGCAGCAGUAGGGAAUCUUCCACAAUGGACGAAAGUCUGAUGGAGCAACGCCGCGUGAGCGAUGAAGGCCUUCGGGUCGUAAAGCUCUGUUGUUAGGGAAGAACAAGUACCGGAGUAGCUGCCGGUACCUUGACGGUACCUAACCAGAAAGCCACGGCUAACUACGUGCCAGCCGCCGCGGUAA